This 1391-nucleotide ribosomal RNA is filed under the name metagenome. RNAcentral's name for it is "bacterial LSU rRNA". It matches the Rfam family "Bacterial large subunit ribosomal RNA", at positions 1552 to 2925 of the family's 2925-position model. The record is from RNAcentral.
CAUCCUGAGACGUGAUACCGAGCCGUACAGGCGAAGUCACUGAUCCUAUGCUGCCGAGAAAAGCCUAGCAGCGAGUUGGCACGGUGCCCGUACCCCAAACCAACACAGGUGGACAGGUAGAGAAUACCAAGGCGAUUGGGAGAACUGUGGUUAAGGAACUCGGCAAAAUGCAUGCGUAACUUCGGGAUAAGCAUGACCUCGUUAGGGUGAAGGGACUUGCUCCCCGAGCUCGAGGAGGUGGCACAGAAUUGGGGGAAGCGACUGUUUACUAAAAACACAGCAGCGUGCGAAGCCGUAAGGCGCUGUAUACGCUGUGACGCCUGCCCGGUGCCGGAAGGUCACGGGGAAGGGUUAGCCCUUUGGGGCGAAGCUCUGAACCUAAGCCCCGGUAAACGGCGGCCGUAACUAUAACGGUCCUAAGGUAGCGAAAUUCCUUGUCGGGUAAGUUCCGACCUGCACGAAUGGCGUAACGACUUCCCUACUGUCUCAACCACAGACCCAGCGAAAUUGAAGUACGAGUAAAGAUGCUCGUUAGCUGCAGAAGGACGAAAAGACCCCGUGGACCUUUACUAUAGCUUGGUAUUGAGUUUUGUUAUGCGUUGUGUAGGAUAGGUGGGAGACUAGGAAGCAUGCACGCCAGUGUGUGUGGAGUCAUCCUUGAAAUACCACCCUGCGUAUGGCGAGACUCUCACCCAGGCCCGUUAUCCGGGUCGGGAACAGUGCCAGGUGGGUAGUUUGACUGGGGCGGUCGCCUCCUAAAGAGUAACGGAGGCGCCCAAAGGUUCCCUCAGACUGGUUGGCAAUCAGUCGUCGAGUGCGAUGGCAUAAGGGAGCUUGACUGCGAGACGUACAUGUCGAGCAGGUGCGAAAGCAGGGCAUAGUGAUCCGGCGGUUGCGUGUGGAAGCGCCGUCGCUCAACGGAUAAAAGGUACCCCGGGGAUAACAGGCUAAUCUUCCCCAAGAGUCCAUAUCGACGGGAAGGUUUGGCACCUCGAUGUCGGCUCAUCGCAUCCUGGGGCUGAAGCAGGUCCCAAGGGUUGGGCUGUUCGCCCAUUAAAGCGGUACGCGAGCUGGGUUUAGAACGUCGCGAGACAGUUCGGUCUCUAUCCUCUGCAGCCGGAAGUGACUUGAGGAAGGCUGUCCCUAGUACGAGAGGACCGGGACGGACGCAGCUCUCGUGUGCCAGUUGUCCUGCCAAGGGCAUGGCUGGUUAGCGACCUGCGGAAGGGAUAACCGCUGAAAGCAUCUAAGUGGGAAGCUCUUUUCAAGAUGAGGUCACUCACAGGGUCAACCUGGUAAGGCCCGUGGUAGACGACCACGUUGAUAGGCCGGAAGUGUAAGCGUGGUAACACGUUCAGCUGACCGGUACUAAUCGGCCGAGGGCUUGGGCC